ACGCAGAAGACGGGUGAUUUCUGCAUUUCCAUCUGAGUGAACAUAGAUUCCUUCAGUAAAUAUUGGGAAAACAUUUGCUUCAGGCCCAUUACUGGGUACCGCUUUGAUACAGAGGACACACCAAGGAACAAGACAGAUAGGACCUCUGCCUCUGGUAAGUUUGCAUUCCAGAGGGAGGAGAAGACAAUAAGCAAGCAAGCCAUCAAGACCACGUCAGAUGAGACGAAUAAAGUCAGACAGCUUCCAAGGAGUGGAUGCUUAUGGAGAGAUCACAUGGAGCCUUGUAGCUGAUUUAUAAUCUCAUGGUCCUCAUUCAUACAUCAAACCCCUGAAGGCCUGGCAUUUUUAUCUCCCGACUCAACCUGCAUGCUACCAGAAGCUCGACAAAAUUACGCCUGUUUAGGAAAAGACUGGAGGAAUUCGUGGAGGAAUUCUUGGAGGGGGAACACUGAAGUCCGAAAUACUAUGUGAAAAGAAAGCACAUGUUCUCCUUUUCUGGCUCGGAAGAAUUUUGGAGUGGAUUUAGGCAGACCAGUCUGAACAAACACGCUCGAGGAGCUGAGGCCCGUCAGCACACGCUCAGCAGCUGUGCAUCCAGAUCCGCGUGCUCUCGGCUUGGCCAAAGCAUUGCAAACAACUGAAGUCCUUGCUGCCAGGCAGAUGGUCACAGGACUGUCAGCAGACCCUGAGAGACCUCAACAAUGCCCACAAACUCUAAACAAAUCUACGCAGAGUCUAAUGGUGUCUGCUUGCUUUGCGGCUCUCCAGACUUCCUAAGUUCUGUUUGGUUCUGUGUGUUUGUUGUAGCUGGGAGAGCAGAACUGACCCUGAUAACCACUACACGUAGAAAACAAGUCUAAUAUCCCCCUAACGGACAACUCAAGUGUCUUUCUUGACUACAUGUGGCCUUCAUGAAAACGAUCUUCCUUAUGAUUCUUCCAAAACCUAUUUCCAGGACCACAUAGUUUAGUACUUAGUAUUAUUUUGUCUUGCAGUACUGGUAGACUACUUCUUAUGAGUUACUCUUGUCUCCCUUAUUGUAUUGUCAGCACCUUAAAAGCAAAAACAGUGGCUUGGGCUUGGGUUCAAGGUCUAGAUCCACCUCUUCCAAGCUGGGUGACCUUAAAUUUGAAUGAUGAUAAUACCUGGAGGGUCAUUGUGAUGAUUACAUGAGAUAAUGUAUGUGAAACACUUAGAAUUCAUGGGAAAUACUCAACAGGUUAUUCUUGUGGUGGUGGUAGUAGCAGUAAUGAUGAUUAUGAUUACAUUAUUAAUACA
This 1278-nucleotide long non-coding RNA is filed under the name Homo sapiens (human). Its description in RNAcentral is "HSALNT0401877". The record is from RNAcentral. Lineage: Eukaryota; Metazoa; Chordata; Mammalia; Primates; Hominidae.